GGAAUGUUCACGGGUAUGAUACAUUCACCGUUGACGGAGGGUGUUCACUAGCAAACGGUGCCCGGAGGUUGUUCAUUAGCAAGCGGUGGCGCGCGGUGAUGUUCAAUGGAAGGAAGGGAAGCGGAGAGGGCGGGGAAAAAUAUACAUUUUCCCAACUUUAUGUAAAUCACCAGCGGCAACCGCUGGGUGAUGACCAAUCAUAUCAAGUUCCCAUGACGAAGGCUGGAGACUUUUUCAGCAAAGAUGACUGACAAAAAUACUAGGAUGGAAGCAAAUAUCUGACACCCCCAGCACUUCAGCUGCAGUCACAGCUGUGUUAUUUCAUUUACUGGAUGCAUCAGUUCCUGCUACACUGGCCUUGAAGUGUAAACUUGUAAUGGAUACAGAGGUUCGGGGAGGGCCUUUGUCAUCACACCCUCCCACACAACGGUACUGCAGUGGUCCCAUGGCCGGAAUGACACUCAUGGAAUGGGUGGUGGUUGGGCAUGGCCCUAUUCCAACUCAUACUUACCUGGCAGGGGAGACACCUUGAUCACGAAGGAGGUUGACCCAUGGUGCGGCUCGGCCAUUGCACUCCGGCCAUCGACUGUAUAAUUUGUGGUACUGGGGGACCUCGUCCGCACUCUCCCUUGAUCUUCUGUGUUAAAGGAAUGAAAGGACAGGAACUGGAGUAAAAGCGGGGAGGAGGCUGAUCUCUUCGGUCACCCUCCCACAGCAGCAUCACGCAUGAGCAUUGUGUGUCCACACUGUGGCGCUGUGGAUUGAUGGCCUUGGGCCCUCCACAGGAAGGAGUGCCUAGCAAAACGAUGAGGCUUUAUUUGAAUCUUAUUUCAGAGCUUUAGCUGGAGUACCAGUGGGGUUCCAGUGGCCCCUGCUGGAGAAAGGGAGAACAACAGAGAAAAAAGGCUUACAGCACCUGGUAUUCCCAGGCGGUCUCUGAUCCAAGCCCUAACCAGGCCUGACCCUGCUUAGCUUCCAAGAUCAAAUAAGAUUGGCCGUGUUGUGGGUGGUAUGGCCAUAAGCAACGGCACUCGUGGAAAAGAAGCCGCUUGUGGCUGGCGUCAGCCCCCUCCUUCAAAGCAGUGUCACCUUUUUAAUGUUUUUAUUUUUUUCCAGUCACAACAUCACAAUUAAAACAUAAAACUCAGAUGAAAUUUGACACAACAGAGAGAAAAAGCUUAAAUCAUCUGGUAUUCCCAGGCAGUCUCCCAUCCAAGUACUAAGUAUGCCCGACCCUGCUUAGCUUCCAAUAUCAGAUUAGAUCAAUUUCCGUCCAUUUCCGCCAAUGCCAACCGAUGCUUGUAUCUGUGCAGAUGUGUAUGUCUGAGCAUUGUUAAUGUUGGUGACACCCCUCUGCCUAGGGAGAACACGACAUGUCUUUUAUCGUGGGUGUUUUUAUCAGAUAACUGUCCUACUCUAGUUAGAGCCCUAUGGUACUGUGACGUGAAAAAUAAAUAUUGCCACGUGAUUAUAUUAUUGAUUGAUCAGAGUUCAACAUCAAAUGUCAGACCAUUGGACAAAGAGGAAUAACAAUUCAUGAUUUACAAGAAUGAGCCACAUCAGAUUAUCGUCUUCUCAUUUGUUUUGGUUGGGGGACUGUUUGAAAUGGAUAGAAAUUCUUAUCAACCUAUAACAUAACAUUUUAUAUUUCUUCCAUAUAUUACAGCCUAGUGAUGUGUUGUUCUCACAUGGAGAUAUAUUUUUCAACCACGUUUCAAGUUUGAUCAUUUGCUUGUCAAAUUAGAUUACAUUUUUUAUUCCAUUUAACCUUUAUUUUACCAGAAAGUCUAUUGAUGCUUGUUCCUGCUUUUCAAAAAUAGAUCUAGACGACUGAUCUGUUCAAUGAAUUGAGGAUAUACCAACCAUGCCAGUGAAUCUGUAUGCCAGAUCACAGGAGGUUUGUGGCACCUUAAUUGGGGAGGACGGGCUCCAAAAGGUAUUUCCCCUACAAACACAGACACACAAAUAAUCUAAUGAAGCUAACCUCACCAUUAUGAUGAAUCUCCACAGCAAAUUGCUAGAUGAUAUGUUAGCUUUGGCUACUGCUCAUUGCCUGUGAUUUCUCAUUCUACUUAUUAAUGUCAGACUUCCGCUGUCCAUCACACCUGAGCUUAAUUUUCCUGUCCACUUUACACAAGUCAAGGUUGUAAUUUGUGGGGUGGAACGGGGGAGACAACAGUUACAUUUGUCACCCCCACAUUCAAGUACAUUUUUUAAAGAUAUAUGUAACAGGGUUAAGUUCAAUUAGAAUAAAGUCACUCAAUUUAGGAAGUGAUUUUUAUUUGAAAUUCAGAAAUGUUUAUAUAAUAGCUUUUCCUUUUCAGUUUAUAGUGAAAUCAUUGAACAUGAAGGUGCAUAAAGAUGUUGCAAUACAGAAAAGAAUUGGAAUGUAUUUACAACUACAAUUAUUUGAAGUGGCUUCCUCUUCUCGUCUCUUUCCUAGUAACCAUUUAGGUACAGUUUACUCUAAAUUAUCCAUAUACCGGUGUAUUCUUAAUGGCAUAACUACAAUAAUAACAUUCUAUUGCUAUAAUUAUAUAGCACUCAACUCCAUUAUUACGCAAUCCAAAUGCACUUAGUGUGAUGGUGUGUUUCAGGUCAAAUGAGUGCAUAGCGAAUCAAUUAGGCCCCUAAACCUAGACAGUGCUCUACAUGAUAAUCCAAAAACAUGGGAGAGCCCUUGCAAUCUCUCAUAUGUGACCCGUUUCAGGAAGCUAGGCGUAUGUCGCACGUCACAACUUCACAGGAGAGACAUUUGAGCGGCACCUAAUUCCUGCUGGAACAUGUGAACUUUCAUGUGCCUUAAUAAAAAACUUGUAUGCCGUCUAUAAAUAGAACAACAUUGUUAAUUUACGAGCCUAGUUCAUUUAGCCACGGAAAAAGGCAGGAACCUUCUCAUUAGCCAGGAUUAACUGCGAUAAUGGAUGGGUUGGACAUGCCGAUAGAUGAGUUCGGAUUGGUCUACCAUGUAGCCUGCUUCUGUCUAUAACAUGAGCUUCUCAGUAUGUGUAGAUAAUCCUUGCUACCACCGCUUUUUUUUAAGUUAUGGAGAACUGCAAAAGUGUUGCUACUGCUCUCAACAACAUUGCUGCCCUGAAUUUAGUAGGUGCUAUCAACAAAGUUCAGUGGGAAAAGUUUGUUCUUAACUGACUUGCCUAGUUCAAUAAAGGUUGAUUCAAAAUAAAAUAAAAGCAGAGUAUGAUAGCUAAGGAGAUAAUUCUGGCAUUUCAUUGCAAACGUGAAGGGUGUCGAAAAGAGAACACAGAAGGCUGUUGUAUAAAACACCUGACUCCGGAUUACAUCUUAAAACUAAGGGCAACCAUGGCAUCUGUGACAGACAGGGAGAAGCGUUCAUCCAUGUAUAUAGGUAAGAGUCUAGCUAGCUACAUUUUCAGAUAUUAUACAUUUCUAAUUGUGUCAGAAAGUUGCUUUCAUUGCAAGUUAAAGCGUGCUGUUAGCUAGCUAGCUAAUGUUAGCUGGCUGGCUCGCUAGCAAACGUUACGUGUAUGAUCUGUGUAGUAAUAUUAUUUGUAUCUCAGAAACCCAUUUGCAUUGCUAGUUAUAGCCUAAUAUUAGCUAGCUACUAACAUUGAACCUAGUUGGUUAGCUUUAGCUACUUCCCAGGUUGAACAAACAUCUAGCCUGAUUCUGGCAUGCCAGAUCUAAAACUGCUCGCCCGGGUCUGGCAGCUGGAUCCGUCCUGAGUUCAAAAUGAAUGAUGGUACAGACUAGGCCCGAGUCAUUCGGCGGCUAGAUCGGAUAGCCUGAACUGAGCCAAAGCUGCCAUUUUAGGGCCAUAAACGACCCAGCAAUGGCCCAAAUCCACUCGAUUCUACUGUAUCCCCUGCCCAGUAUUCAUGGAUACAGCUCUCAGAUGAUAAACAUAUGGUCCGUGCUACUUAGAAUACUUUGGACAUCCCUACCCAAUUGAAGUUGACAUAUAAAAUGGUUAAGGUUAGGUAAGGGAUUUGGUUAUGUGUAAGGUAAGGUAAGGGUUAAGGUUAAGGUUAUGGUUUAUGGUAUGGAAGUUCCAAGGAUCCCAGAUAACCCUCACCAUAAACAUAUAGGAGCUAUGUAUGCAAGGACUGGCCAUUCAUUAUAUACAAAUUAUAGUUUGGACCAUGUUUUGAGGCUAUACAGUGUUUGUUUUCAGUUAAACAGGCCUAUGUUCAGAUCUGAUGCGGAAGAACAGUUCAACUAAGCUCAACAACCAUUUAUAACUUAUUUUCUUCAAGAAUCAAUGGGUAUACAAUGCCUAGUGAAAGUCUACACACCCUUGAAAAGUUUUCACAUUUGAGAUUGACUCCUUUACUGUCCACACUUGCCACACCAGCUCAGGCUCAAGAUGCCAGCCUUCAGAUUCACAUGUUGAGUAUUUGGCGCACGGUGGUGGAAGGUGGAGACAGUCCAUCAGAGAGACAAAUAAGAAGACAUGUAUUGUAGAGCACAUCACUGUACAUGUGGUUCAAGUGAGGAAGGGGGUAAACUAGAAAUACUCAUCAUUCAACCUAUAGAAUGUUGCUUUACAUUAUACUUAUAGUUAUUAUUAGUGGAAAGUUAAAAUGUAUUGUAAACCAGAAUCGAUGGACUGUAAUUGUUGUUCAACAAAUAAUAUGUUAUUAUGAGUGAUAACUGUUGUGUCACACAUAUGCUUCUAGCUGUGAACAGUCUGAGUAUUUGGCGCAUUGUGGUGGAAGGUGGAGACCAGUGGCGACCUGUCAUUCAGGGCAGCUGGGGCAGAGCCUCACCUGUUUUGAGCCCCACCUGUUUAUUUAUUUUAGACUGUUUUGCAU
Salmo salar (Atlantic salmon) is the source of this 4793-nucleotide long non-coding RNA. RefSeq lists it as uncharacterized. Lineage: Eukaryota; Metazoa; Chordata; Actinopteri; Salmoniformes; Salmonidae. The record is from RefSeq and is a predicted model, not a curated record.